This 500-nucleotide ribosomal RNA is filed under the name uncultured Glomeromycotina. RNAcentral describes it as "partial small subunit ribosomal RNA". It matches the Rfam family "Eukaryotic small subunit ribosomal RNA", at positions 591 to 1092 of the family's 1831-position model. Lineage: Eukaryota; Fungi; Glomeromycota. The record is from RNAcentral.
CCAAUAGCGUAUAUUAAAGUUGUUGCAGUUAAAAAGCUCGUAGUUGAAUUUCGGGAUCAAUUAAUUGGUCGUGCCUCUGGUACGUACUGAUUUUAUUGGUUUCUCCCUUCUGACGAACCAUGAUGUCAUUAAUUUGAUGUCGUGGAGAAUCAGGACUGUUACUUUGAAAAAAUUAGAGUGUUUAAAGCAAGCUAACGCUUGAAUACAUUAGCAUGGAAUAAUGAAAUAGGACGUUUGAUCCUAUUUUGUUGGUUUCUAGGAUCGACGUAAUGAUUAAUAGGGAUAGUUGGGGGCGUUAGUAUUCAAUUGUCAGAGGUGAAAUUCUUGGAUUUAUUGAAGACUAACUACUGCGAAAGCAUUUGCCAAGGAUGUUUUCAUUAAUCAAGAACGAAAGUUAGGGGAUCGAAGACGAUCAGAUACCGUCGUAGUCUUAACCAUAAACUAUGCCGACUAGAGAUCGGAUGAUGUUAAUUUUUUAAUGACUCAUUCGGCGCCUUACG